GAUGAACGCUGGCGGCGUGCCUAAUACAUGCAAGUCGAGCGAACAGACGAGGAGCUUGCUCCUCUGACGUUAGCGGAGCACGGGAGUGAAACACGUGGAAACUCCACCUAUAAGUCUGGGAACACUUCGGGAAACCGGCGCAAAUACCGUAUAAUAUACUGCACCGCAUGGGUCAAUAGUGAAAGACGGCUUUGCUGUCACGUAUAGAUGGAUCCGCGCCGCAUUAGCUGGUUGGUAAGGUACCGGCUUACCAAGGCGACGAUGCGUAGCCGACCUGAUAGGCUGAUCGGCGACACUAGAACGGAGACACGCACCAUACGACUACGAGAGGGAGCAGUAGGGAAUCUUCCGCAAUGGGGGAGAGCCUUACGCAGUAACGGGGCGCGAGUUGUGACGGUGUUGGGAUCGUAAUACUCGGUUAUUAGUUGUGAACAAAUGUGUAAGUAACUGUGCACGUAUUGACGGUACCUAAUCAAAAAGCCACGGCUAACUACGUG
This 497-nucleotide ribosomal RNA is filed under the name uncultured bacterium. RNAcentral describes it as "partial 16S ribosomal RNA". It matches the Rfam family "Bacterial small subunit ribosomal RNA", at positions 28 to 507 of the family's 1533-position model. The record is from RNAcentral.